This 492-nucleotide ribosomal RNA is filed under the name uncultured bacterium. RNAcentral describes it as "partial 16S ribosomal RNA". It matches the Rfam family "Bacterial small subunit ribosomal RNA", at positions 29 to 507 of the family's 1533-position model. The record is from RNAcentral.
AGUGAACGCUGGCGGUAGGCCUAACACAUGCAAGUCGAACGGCAGCACAGUAAGAGCUUGCUCUUACGGGUGGCGAGUGGCGGACGGGUGAGGAAUACAUCGGAAUCUACUUUUUCGUGGGGGAUAACGUAGGGAAACUUACGCUAAUACCGCAUACGACCUACGGGUGAAAGCAGGGGAUCUUCGGACCUUGCGCGAUUGAAUGAGCCGAUGUCGGAUUAGCUAGUUGGCGGGGUAAAGGCCCACCAAGGCAACGAUCCGUAGCUGGUCUGAGAGGAUGAUCCGGCACACUGGAACUACGACACGGUCCAGACUCCUACGGGAGGCAGCAGUGGGGAAUAUUGGACAAUGGGCGAAAGCCUGAUCCAGCCAUACCGCGUGGGUGAAGAAGGCCUUCGGGUUGUAAAGCCCUUUUGUUGGGAAAGAAAAGCAGCAGGUUAAUAACCCGCUGUUCUGACGGUACCCAAAGAAUAAGCACCGGCUAACUUCGUG